This 286-nucleotide signal recognition particle RNA is filed under the name Microcebus murinus (gray mouse lemur). RNAcentral's name for it is "Metazoan signal recognition particle RNA (ENSMICG00000028163.2)". It matches the Rfam family "Metazoan signal recognition particle RNA". Rfam says of the family: The signal recognition particle (SRP) is a universally conserved ribonucleoprotein. Lineage: Eukaryota; Metazoa; Chordata; Mammalia; Primates; Cheirogaleidae. The record is from Rfam by way of RNAcentral.
GCUAGGAUCACAGGCGUGAGCCACCACGCCUGGCCUGCAGGAGGAUCUCUUGAGCCCAGGAUUUCUGGACUGUGGUGUACUAUACCAAUCUGGUGUCCCCACUAAAUUCAACAUCAAUAUGCUGACCUCAGAGGAUCAGGGGACCACCUCAUUUCCUAAGGAGGGGUGAACCAGCCAAGAUUAAAAAUGGAGCAGGUCAAAAUUCUGAUGCUGAUCAGUAGUUUGAUUGUGCCUGUAAUUUGCCACGGCACCCCAGCCUGGGCAACAUAGCAAGACUUUUUUCUCU